GCGCCCGUACCUCAAUUGGAUAGAGGACCGGUCUACGAAACCGACUGUUGCGCGUUCAAAUCGCGCCGGGCGCG
This 74-nucleotide transfer RNA is filed under the name Anaerolineales bacterium. RNAcentral's name for it is "tRNA-Arg". It matches the Rfam family "tRNA". Rfam says of the family: Transfer RNA (tRNA) molecules are approximately 80 nucleotides in length. Their secondary structure includes four short double-helical elements and three loops (D, anti-codon, and T loops). Further hydrogen bonds mediate the characteristic L-shaped molecular structure. tRNAs have two regions of fundamental functional importance: the anti-codon, which is responsible for specific mRNA codon recognition, and the 3' end, to which the tRNAs corresponding amino acid is attached (by aminoacyl-tRNA synthetases). tRNAs cope with the degeneracy of the genetic code in two manners: having more than one tRNA (with a specific anti-codon) for a particular amino acid; and 'wobble' base-pairing, i.e. permitting non-standard base-pairing at the 3rd anti-codon position. The record is from RNAcentral. Lineage: Bacteria; Bacillati; Chloroflexota; Anaerolineae; Anaerolineales.